This is a long non-coding RNA of Pogoniulus pusillus (Red-fronted tinkerbird), 573 nucleotides long. RefSeq lists it as uncharacterized. NCBI's taxonomy places the organism in Eukaryota, Metazoa, Chordata, Aves, Piciformes, Lybiidae. The record is from RefSeq and is a predicted model, not a curated record. The transcript has 2 exons.
GCCCCUCUCUGCCGGCAGCUGCGCCCGCAGGGCUGGCACCGUGCGCCGCACCGGCGCGGCAGUGCUGCCGAGCCCGGCCGGCUCCUGCCUGCUCUGCGGAAGAAAGGAGCAGGUGACCUGGCCCCCCGAGCUGGGGCUGCUCCGGCUGACAUCCAGCGGGAAGGAAAAUCCCCUCCCAAGCGCUCCUCAGGCGGCGAAGGCUCUGCCCGCAGCGGGCUCCGGCUGCGCUGACGAGGGCAAUGCCCAGGCUUCUCUCAUCCUUGGGCGUCUUCUGCGAGGAGAUGAGCAGGGUGGUGCUGAGGAGACGGCAGCGGCGGUGGGAUGCUCCGUCAGGGGGUCGCGGCGAGAGCAGCAGGGGCCCCCAGCUCCUCUAAACCGAGGUCGAUGCGAACCGUGCUGGCUCUCCUGGUGAUAAAAGCGGCCAAGGAGGAUUAGCCUUAGCUCAUUAAAGGUUAAGCUCAAGGCUGGGUCCUGCCUGCAAGGCUUCCCAUCCCGAGAGCGGCGAGGGUUAACGUUUGGGGUGUCCUCCCCCCUGCUUCAGCACCGAUUCCUAUUAAAGCAUCCUAACCAUGA